AGGCUUAACACAUGCAAGUCGAGCGCCCCGCAAGGGGAGCGGCAGACGGGUGAGUAACGCGUGGGAAUCUACCUUUUGCUACGGAAUAACGCAGGGAAACUUGUGCUAAUACCGUAUGUGUCCUUCGGGAGAAAGAUUUAUCGGCAAGAGAUGAGCCCGCGUUGGAUUAGCUAGUUGGUGGGGUAAAGGCCUACCAAGGCGACGAUCCAUAGCUGGUCUGAGAGGAUGAUCAGCCACAUUGGGACUGAGACACGGCCCAAACUCCUACGGGAGGCAGCAGUGGGGAAUAUUGGACAAUGGGCGCAAGCCUGAUCCAGCCAUGCCGCGUGAGUGAUGAAGGCCCUAGGGUUGUAAAGCUCUUUCACCGGAGAAGAUAAUGACGGUAUCCGGAGAAGAAGCCCCGGCUAACUUCGUGCCAGCAGCCGCGGUAAUACGAAGGGGGCUAGCGUUGUUCGGAAUUACUGGGCGUAAAGCGCACGUAGGCGGAUCGAUCAGUCAGGGGUGAAAUCCCAGGGCUCAACCCUG
This 525-nucleotide ribosomal RNA is filed under the name Martinezella tropici. RNAcentral's name for it is "bacterial SSU rRNA". It matches the Rfam family "Bacterial small subunit ribosomal RNA", at positions 44 to 617 of the family's 1533-position model. Lineage: Bacteria; Pseudomonadati; Pseudomonadota; Alphaproteobacteria; Hyphomicrobiales; Rhizobiaceae. The record is from RNAcentral.